This is an RNA transcript of Chenopodium quinoa (quinoa), 2906 nucleotides long. It is a transcript of the gene named transcription termination factor MTERF9, chloroplastic-like, with no coding region annotated. The record is from RefSeq and is a predicted model, not a curated record. The transcript has 2 exons. NCBI's taxonomy places the organism in Eukaryota, Viridiplantae, Streptophyta, Magnoliopsida, Caryophyllales, Amaranthaceae.
AUGGCAUGUUGUGACAUUUAUGUUAAACUCAGUGGUAUAUAGUGAAUUACGCAUUAACUCAGUGAUUUUUGGUGAAAAAUUCGAUUUUUUUUUUUUUUUUAAAGAAAGUUAAUAUUAUGAAACUUUAUGUUAAUAUUAUUUGAAAAUAUAUUUCAUGAUGAUAAAUUUUGUUUUUUUUUUUUUAUACAUUAUUAGUCAUUAUUAGUUAGUACGGAGUAAGAGAAAGUCAAACAUUUCAAUUUAGGAGUAAAAAUCUUUGUGCUAGCACCAUGUAAGAAUUACCCCAUGAGUAUUCAUUAUUCAGCAUUCCAUAUGACUUCAUUUUGAAAACGAAAUGUUGAAAUUUGGGUUUAGCUCCAAUGGCUUCCGAUGCCUCUACAACUACUUCUUCCUGCCUGGUUUUCGACGCAUUUCAACAUCUUCUUCAUCAAAUGGAGGUAAUACUUCUUCUUCAUCUUCUUCAUUUGCGAAUUUCUUGGUUGAAAAUCUGGGGUUUUCCAACCACCAAUCUCUCUCUACUUCCGCUACACUCGCUAGUCGCCGGAGAGUUAGUGGGGCGAAGCUGGCUAUUGAUUGGGUUGAAAAGGCUGAAUCUGUUAUUCAUUUUCUUAAGCAAAUUGGUUUUCAGCAAUCUGAUAUUAGGAAAAUUGUAUCUGAUGAACCCCGGAUUUUACUUUCUAGGGUUAGCCAAACCCUAAAACCCAAAAUUAAGCUUCUUAAUGAUCUGGGUUUAUCUGGGUCUGAUCUUGUUCAAGCUGUUGUUAGACAUCCUGUAAUAUUGCGCCAACGUUUAGGUCCUGCAAUUCAUGCUUUUAGGACUGUUCUGGGUAGUGAUGAGAAUGUUGUUCGGGCGAUAAAUAAUUCGCAUUGGAUUCAAUUUAGCAAAGCUGCUAAUAAUUUGAUUCCGAAUGUUGAGUUGUUGCAAAGUUAUAGUGGAAUUUCUGGUGAAAAAAUUCAGAAACACAUUAUUCGGCACCCUAGUUUGUACUGUAUGACGACAGAUUUGUUUCGAAAAAUCUUGACUAGGGUUGAAAAUAAGUUGGGAAUACCUCCAAAUUCUGUCAUGUUAUUUUAUGGAAUAAAAUGUGUUGCUCAAUUAAGUGAUCAGAGUAUCGACGAUAAAUGUGAAAUUUUUAAGAGCUUUGGAUGGACUCAAUCUGAUGUCAUGGAAUUGAUCAGGCGAAAUCCUUUGUGCUUGACAUCAACAGAGGAAAAGCUCAAGGAAAAAUUGGAUUUUCUGAUAAACCAGCUGGGUUAUAAGCCAGAUUACCUAGCAUUCCAGGCGUCGUUUUUCACUUACAGCAUAGAGAAGAGGUUAUUGCCAAGACACCAAGUCUUACAGGUUUUGAAGGAGAAAGGGCUGAUAAAAGAGCAUCACCUUCUUUCUAGUGCCUCCAUCUUGACUGAGGCUAACUUUUUGAAAAAGUUUAUUUUUCCUUUUGAGGAAAUCCAUGAAGUUUAUGCUCAGCUUACAGGCUCCACAGUUGAAUCACUCGGUGCAGGAAGAGUAAAAGGCCACAUCUGAAUUCUGAAGAUGUCAUCGAGUUCGUUCUAAUGCUGCUAGAUGCAAAUCAGUGCCAUAAGGUAUUAGGCCUGGUUAAAUUUUAGAUUUUUUUUUUUUUUCACAUAACAUCUAUCAAUAUUCUCUCAGUAUCAUUUCCUUGUCCGUGUUACAGUCAUUAAUUAUGUAUGUUGGAAACAAACUCGUACGGUUGCUAUUAACUUAUUGUUAGACAUUUUUAGUUGGGAAGGUUUAAUUAGCCUAUUUUCAACUAAUGGCGUCAAUACAUGUCCCUUUCUGUUAAAUUUUUGUGAUAAUUUACACAUUUUUAUAAAUAAUGAAGAAGUUUGUAUCAUUUGCCCCAAAAAUAUGGCAACACACAAGCAUUAAGAAAAAAGGUAAUGUUUGGGAUCUCUACGGAACAAAAAGAUUGCAUAAUAGGCUUGAUAGCUCAUGGGAAAAUAGGCACAAACAGGAGUGGUGCAAAGUGGACUGCAGACUACAGCACGAGAAUUGAGCAUGAUGCUUGGGUACUUUUAGUAUUUCUAACAGUGUCUAGGAAGCUGAGGCAAAUGCCUGCAUCGAAGCUCUAAAUUGGAGCCGAGGAAUAGGGUUUCUUAGAAUUUUAGUCUACUCUAAGUCUCUGACUCCAGUAAAUUAGUCUCCAUUCUACGUAGCCUUCACACAUGGGAUAUGUCUAUUCACUGGAUUAUUGGGGCAAUCAACCAGCAACCGGUUUGGGACAAAUAUUCAGGUUUGCAAUAUUCGAUAAGUUGAGAGAUCUAAUAGCUAACAAUUGUCGUGCUUGUUUCGCUCUGCUGUCUGCACACUCUACCCAAUCAUCAAGCAUUUUUGGGGCUCCAAUGAAAUUAGGCCCCAGAGAACAUGGAAACCUUCGACAUCUGAGCAAGGGCUUGCAGCUAUCACCUAGGCACCCUCCUGGGUUUAUUCAUGCAUAGUUUGUAUUCAACCACCCAAAGGAAAGAAGAAGCACAUAUCAAGAUGCACUUGCACUGUCUGCAUCACUAUAAAAUGCCACUUCACGAGGAAAAGGAAUUGACAGUCAGAACAGGAAGUGGAGACUACAAAAAAGAUGUAAAUGCUGAUGCAGAAAAUAGUGACAGUUCUCACCUUAGUUAUGCCUCACAGAUGAAUCCAACUCAAUCUAAAGAUGGCCGAGGUCUAAAUCUGAUUAGCUUACCAUCGGAAAAAAGGAAUAGUUAUGCUUAUGCAAUUGUAAAGUUGUCUUGUUUGUGCAUCGUCUUGUAAUGUUGUAUUAGUCGCGCAUUCAAGCGCAAGUAUUGUUUGGAAUAUGAAAUUCAAGACAACAAGAAUAACAAAUAAAAAUAAAGAACUUUAUUUUCUUAGUUCCAUUAUAUUAUCAUGAGAUAAAGUUUUAAUAUUA